This is a long non-coding RNA of Austrofundulus limnaeus, 1127 nucleotides long. RefSeq lists it as uncharacterized. The record is from RefSeq and is a predicted model, not a curated record. Lineage: Eukaryota; Metazoa; Chordata; Actinopteri; Cyprinodontiformes; Rivulidae. The transcript is spliced from 3 exons.
AUUCAGUGUUGCAUUAAUUUUUCACCAAGAUCUUCCUUUGAUGAUGGUAGAAUUCAGAUUACAAAUUCAUUCAGAUCAAGCUGAUCAGGGUGUUUGCAUUUUUAUUUUGAAUGGCUGUUUAAUCUGAUAAUUGUGUCCCUGUAAACAUAGCUUGGGAGACCACUCCCUGAACAGUUCAGUGUUGACUAGUUUAGUUUUUGUUGUCCUUUGUUUGGUACACUCAGUGUGACCUGUAAUGUUUUAUUCUCUUUUACAGUCUUUGCCGUCUAUAAGCUCAGAUCUAGGCCUCGCUGAAUUCACCAAUAUUUACUAAAUGUGUUGCUAGAGCCUCCAGGAGGUGACUACUUGCACAUGUUCUGACCUCCACAUGCUCAUGGUGCUGAGGUGAAUCUACUGCAGCCACAUACAGCCCUGCGUCUGGACAUACAUCCAGCUUUGAACACAGUUCAUUCUCUCUUUCUGAAGAUUUUUUUCUCUGGAUCCAUGGCAUUUAGGAGCUCCAUGAAAGAUGCACCGGACCUUCUGAAAGCUUCUCACCAGAUGUGGGACGUUUAGAAUGAAGAACAGCCUUUUGUCUGGUCUUGCUACAUGUUGGACAUGUGUUUUAUUGUGGCUCAUUCUAAAAGCUGAAGAAGAAAAAAAACCUAGUUGAGCUCACUGAAAAAAGACAGAGGAAGUUCUUCUCAUGUCAGGAUCUUUCCUCCUCCUUGGUUCUGGGUGAUGAACAAACAGGGUUGGAGCAGCAUCAGCCUUUAGUCUAAUUUGGACAGUCUGUCUUUGGGAUCUGUCCUUCCACAAAUUGUGCCUGCAGUGAUUUAUAGUUUAUUUCUUUACACACUUAAUUGGGGCCUGGUGCAUUUGACAGUAAAACAUUUUGAGCCCUGGUUAAAAUGUUGAGUGCAGAUUAAACUUAAAGCACAGUUUGUUGUUAUUUUGACCUUUAUUGAUGCAGGUAUGACUAAACACUAAAUGUUAAUAAAAGUACUUUUUAAAGUAAUUAAACACUAUUUCAUUACAAAAUGUUUGGUUAUUUGUUUUUUCAGAAUUGAGACACACUUUGUCAUGUAAUAAGAUCUUAAAACACUUUUGUUCAAAUUARCAUUUUAAUAAAUUACUAUUUCACAACA